AAAAACAUGUCCUUUUGUUUAUUUAUUUAAGGUCUGACCUGCCCAAUGAGGAAUUGAAUGGCCGCAGUAUUUUAACUGUGCUAAGGUAGCAUAAUCAUUUGUCUUUUAAUUGAGGGCUGGAAUGAAGGGUUGGACGAGGUAUUAACUUUCUUUGAUUUAAUGAGGAGAAUUUAAUUUUUGAGUUAAAAAGCUUAAAUUUAUUUGUGGGACGAGAAGACCCUAUAGAUCUUUAUAGUUUUAUAUUUUAAUAAUUUGGUGAUUUAUUUGUUUUAAGUAGAUGAACUAUUUUGUUGGGGUGACUGUAGAAUUUAAAUAACUUCUAUUAUUUUAUUUCAUUAAUUAAUGUUUUUGUGAUCCAUAUUUUAUGAUUAUAAGAUUAAGUUACCUUAGGGAUAACAGCGUAAUUUCCUCGGAGAGUUCAUAUUGAAGUGGGAG
This 435-nucleotide ribosomal RNA is filed under the name Triatoma infestans. RNAcentral describes it as "partial 16S large subunit ribosomal RNA". It matches the Rfam family "Bacterial large subunit ribosomal RNA", at positions 1809 to 2516 of the family's 2925-position model. Lineage: Eukaryota; Metazoa; Arthropoda; Insecta; Hemiptera; Reduviidae. The record is from RNAcentral.